Molecule: ribosomal RNA, 492 nt
Filed under: uncultured bacterium
Lineage: Bacteria
Description: partial 16S ribosomal RNA
Rfam family: Bacterial small subunit ribosomal RNA
Source: RNAcentral
AGUGGACGCUGGCGGUAGGCCUAACACAUGCAAGUCGAACAGCAGCACAGUAAGAGCUUGCUCUUACGGGUGGCGAGUGGCGGACGGGUGAGGAAUACAUCGGAAUCUACUUUUUCGUGGGGGAUAACGUAGGGAAACUUACGCUAAUACCGCAUACGACCUACGGGUGAAAGCAGGGGAUCUUCGGACCUUGCGCGAUUGAAUGAGCCGAUGUCGGAUUAGCUAGUUGGCGGGGUAAAGGCCCACCAAGGCGACGAUCCGUAGCUGGUCUGAGAGGAUGAUCAGCCACACUGGAACUGAGACACGGUCCAGACUCCUACGGGAGGCAGCAGUGGGGAAUAUUGGACAAUGGGCGCAAGCCUGAUCCAGCCAUACCGCGUGGGUGAAGAAGGCCUUCGGGUUGUAAAGCCCUUUUGUUGGGAAAGAAAAGCAGCAGGUUAAUACCCCGCUGUUCUGACGGUACCCAAAGAAUAAGCACCGGCUAACUUCGUG